Molecule: ribosomal RNA, 580 nt
Filed under: uncultured Dechloromonas sp.
Lineage: Bacteria; Pseudomonadati; Pseudomonadota; Betaproteobacteria; Rhodocyclales; Azonexaceae
Description: bacterial SSU rRNA
Rfam family: Bacterial small subunit ribosomal RNA
Source: RNAcentral
ACGGACUUCGGUCUGGUGGCGAGUGGCGAACGGGUGAGUAGUGUAUCGGAACGUACCUUUCAGUGGGGGAUAACGUAGCGAAAGUUACGCUAAUACCGCAUAUUCUGUGAGCAGGAAAGCAGGGGAUCGAAAGACCUUGCGCUGAUUGAGCGGCCGAUAUCAGAUUAGCUAGUUGGUGGGGUAAAGGCCUACCAAGGCGACGAUCUGUAGCGGGUCUGAGAGGAUGAUCCGCCACACUGGAACUGAGACACGGUCCAGACUCCUACGGGAGGCAGCAGUGGGGAAUUUUGGACAAUGGGGGCAACCCUGAUCCAGCCAUGCCGCGUGAGUGAAGAAGGCCUUCGGGUUGUAAAGCUCUUUCGGCCGGGAAGAAAUCGCAUGGGCUAAUACCCUGUGUGGAUGACGGUACCGGAAUAAGAAGCACCGGCUAACUACGUGCCAGCAGCCGCGGUAAUACGUAGGGUGCGAGCGUUAAUCGGAAUUACUGGGCGUAAAGCGUGCGCAGGCGGUUUAGUAAGACAGGCGUGAAAUCCCCGGGCUCAACCUGGGAACUGCGCUUGUGACUGCUAAGCUAGAGUAC